RNAcentral lists this ribosomal RNA (253 nucleotides) under uncultured bacterium. RNAcentral describes it as "partial 16S ribosomal RNA". It matches the Rfam family "Bacterial small subunit ribosomal RNA", at positions 524 to 776 of the family's 1533-position model. The record is from RNAcentral.
UACGGGGGGGGCAAGCGUUGUUCGGAAUUACUGGGCGUAAAGGGCUCGUAGGCGGCCAACUAAGUCAGACGUGAAGUCCCUCGGCUUAACCGGGGAACUGCGUCUGAUACUGGAUGGCUAGAGAUUGGGAGAGGGAUGCGGAAUUCCAGGUGUAGCGGUGAAAUGCGUAGAUAUCUGGAGGAACACCGGUGGCGAAGGCGGCAUCCUGGACCAACACUGACGCUGAGGAGCGAAAGCCAGGGGAGCAAACGGG